GACAGAGGUGCCGAGCGUUAGGCGGAAUCACUGGGCUUAAAGCGCGUGUAGGUGGCGGCCUAAGUACCUUGUGAAAUCCUGCGGCUCAACCGCAGAACUGCUUGGUAUACUGGGUCGCUUGAGACAUUCAGGGGCAACUGGAACAAGCGGUGGAGCGGUGAAAUGCGUAGAUAUCGCUUGGAACGCCAAAGGUGAAAACAGGUUGCUGGGGAUGUUCUGACACUGAGACGCGAAAGCCAGGGGGAGCAAACAGG
RNAcentral lists this ribosomal RNA (254 nucleotides) under uncultured bacterium. Its description in RNAcentral is "partial 16S ribosomal RNA". It matches the Rfam family "Bacterial small subunit ribosomal RNA", at positions 524 to 776 of the family's 1533-position model. The record is from RNAcentral.